UGGGGAAUAUUGCACAAUGGGGGAAACCAUGAUGCAGCGACGCCGCGUGAACGAAGAAGGUAUUCGUAUCGUAAAGUUCUGUCCUAUGGGAAGAUAAUGACAGUACCAUAGAAGAAAGCUCCGGCUAAAUACGUGCCAGCAGCCGCGGUAAUACGUAUGGAGCGAGCGUUGUCCGGAAUUAUUGGGCGUAAAGGGUACGCAGGCGGUUUAAUAAGUCGAAUGUUAAAGAUCGGGGCUCAACCCCGUAAAGCAUUGGAAACUGAUAAACUUGAGUAGUGGAGAGGAAAGUGGAAUUCCUAGUGUAGUGGUGAAAUACGUAGAUAUUAGGAGGAAUACCAGUAGCGAAGGCGACUUUCUGGACACAAACUGACGCUGAGGUACGAAAGCGUGGGGAGCAAACAGG
This 403-nucleotide ribosomal RNA is filed under the name bacterium. RNAcentral's name for it is "partial 16S ribosomal RNA". It matches the Rfam family "Bacterial small subunit ribosomal RNA", at positions 355 to 776 of the family's 1533-position model. The record is from RNAcentral.